GACGAACGCUGGCGGCGUGCUUAACACAUGCAAGUCGAACGGAAAGGCCCUGCUUUUGUGGGGUGCUCGAGUGGCGAACGGGUGAGUAACACGUGAGUAACCUGCCCUUGACUUUGGGAUAACUUCAGGAAACUGGGGCUAAUACCGGAUAGGAGCUCCUGCUGCAUGGUGGGGGUUGGAAAGUUUCGGCGGUUGGGGAUGGACUCGCGGCUUAUCAGCUUGUUGGUGGGGUAGUGGCUUACCAAGGCUUUGACGGGUAGCCGGCCUGAGAGGGUGAACGGCCACAUUGGGACUGAGAUACGGCCCAGACUCCUACGGGAGGCAGCAGUGGGGAAUAUUGCACAAUGGGCGGAAGCGUGAUGCAGCAGCGCCGCGUGCGGGAUGACGGCCUUCGGGUUGUAAACCGCUUUCGCCUGUGACGAAGCGUGAGUGACGGUAAUGGGUAAAGAAGCACCGGCUAACUACGUG
Molecule: ribosomal RNA, 468 nt
Filed under: uncultured bacterium
Lineage: Bacteria
Description: partial 16S ribosomal RNA
Rfam family: Bacterial small subunit ribosomal RNA
Source: RNAcentral